GACGAACGCUGGCGGCGUGCUUAACACAUGCAAGUCGAACGAAGAGCGAUGGACGCUUGCUUCUAUCAAUCUUAGUGGCGCACGGGUGAGUAACGCGUAAUCAACCUGCCCUUCAGAGGGGGACAACAGUUGGAAACGACUGCUAAUACCGCAUACGAUCUGACCUCGGCAUCGAGGAUAGAUGAAAGGUGGCCUCUACAUGUAAGCUAUCACUGAAGGAGGGGAUUGCGUCUGAUUAGCUAGUUGGAGGGGUAACGGCCCACCAAGGCGAUGAUCAGUAGCCGGUCUGAGAGGAUGAACGGCCACAUUGGGACUGAGACACGGCCCAGACUCCUACGGGAGGCAGCAGUGGGGAAUCUUCCGCAAUAGACGAAAGUCUGACGGAGCAACGCCGCGUGAGUGAUGACGGCCUUCGGGUUGUAAAGCUCUGUUAAUCGGGACGAAAGGCCUUUUUGCGAAUAGUGAGAAGGAUUGACGGUACCGGAAUAGAAAGCCACGGCUAACUACGUG
This 510-nucleotide ribosomal RNA is filed under the name uncultured bacterium. Its description in RNAcentral is "partial 16S ribosomal RNA". It matches the Rfam family "Bacterial small subunit ribosomal RNA", at positions 28 to 507 of the family's 1533-position model. The record is from RNAcentral.